Molecule: ribosomal RNA, 254 nt
Filed under: uncultured bacterium
Lineage: Bacteria
Description: partial 16S ribosomal RNA
Rfam family: Bacterial small subunit ribosomal RNA
Source: RNAcentral
UACGAGAGGCCCAAACGUUAUUCGGAAUUACUGGGCUUAAAGAGUUCGUAGGCGGCAUGAAAAGUAGGGUGUGAAAGCCCUCGGCUCAACCGAGGAAUUGCGCUCUAAACUGUCGUGCUAGAGGAAGCUAGAGGUGAGCGGAACUGAUGGUGGAGCGGUGAAAUGCGUUGAUAUCAUCAGGAACACCGGAGGCGAAGGCGGCUCACUGGGGCUUUUCUGACGCUGAGGAACGGAAAGCCAGGGUAGCGAACGGG